RNAcentral lists this ribosomal RNA (496 nucleotides) under uncultured bacterium. RNAcentral describes it as "partial 16S ribosomal RNA". It matches the Rfam family "Bacterial small subunit ribosomal RNA", at positions 29 to 507 of the family's 1533-position model. The record is from RNAcentral.
AUGAACGCUGGCGGCGUGCCUAAUCCAUGCCAGUCGAGCGAACGGACGAGAAGCUUGCUUCUCUGAUGUUAGCGGCGGACGGGUGAGUAACACGUGGAUAACCUACCUAUAAGACUGGGAUAACUUCGGGAAACCGGAGCUAAUACCGGAUAAUAUUUUGAACCGCAUGGUUCAAAAGUAAAAGACGGUCUUGCUGUCACUUAUAGAUGGAUCCGCGCUGCAUUAGCUAGUUGGUAAGGUAACGGCUUACCAAGGCAACGAUGCAUAGCCGACCUGAGAGGGUGAUCGGCCACACUGGAACUGAGACACGGUCCAGACUCCUACGGGAGGCAGCAGUAGGGAAUCUUCCGCAAUGGGCGAAAGCCUGACGGAGCAACGCCGCGUGAGUGAUGAAGGUCUUCGGAUCGUAAAACUCUGUUAUUAGGGAAGAACAUAUGUGUAAGUAACUGUGCACAUCUUGACGGUACCUAAUCAGAAAGCCACGGCUAACUACGUG